UACGUAGGGGGCAAGCGUUGUCCGGAAUUAUUGGGCGUAAAGAGCGCGUAGGCGGUCCGAUAAGUCGGCUGUGAAAGUCCAGGGCUCAACCCUGGAAAGCCGGCCGAUACUGUCGGACUAGAGUCCGGAAGAGGCAAGUGGAAUUCCAGGUGUAGCGGUGAAAUGCGUAGAUAUCUGGAGGAACACCGGUGGCGAAGGCGACAUCCUGGACCGGCAUUGACGCUGAGGCGCGAAAGCCAGGGGAGCAAACGGG
This 253-nucleotide ribosomal RNA is filed under the name uncultured bacterium. RNAcentral describes it as "partial 16S ribosomal RNA". It matches the Rfam family "Bacterial small subunit ribosomal RNA", at positions 524 to 776 of the family's 1533-position model. The record is from RNAcentral.